UUUCACCUCAAAAUCCAUAAC
Caenorhabditis elegans is the source of this 21-nucleotide non-coding RNA. The record is from Ensembl. Lineage: Eukaryota; Metazoa; Nematoda; Chromadorea; Rhabditida; Rhabditidae.